RNAcentral lists this microRNA precursor (101 nucleotides) under Loxodonta africana (African savanna elephant). RNAcentral describes it as "miRNA (ENSLAFG00000025367.1)". The record is from RNAcentral. Lineage: Eukaryota; Metazoa; Chordata; Mammalia; Proboscidea; Elephantidae.
CAUGUAUGUUAAGCGUUUAUGUGUUUAAGUGCGUAUGUGUAUAUACAGAGGCAUUACACACACACACACACACACACACACAGAGCAGGAAAUAUACAUAU